AUGAUAAAAAGUGACUUUACAAUAUUUGUGUUACUUGUAUAAAAAUCUCCACACAGAAGAGCUUUAUACACAUGUGAUAAACAAAAACUAAUUCAACACACUUAAAAUAAUUAACAAACAAAGGCAGUUGUAUGACCUCAUUCGAUCCAAUUGUAUAUUAGUUGAAAGAAUAUUUGUCUAUAAGACAUAAUGCCCUGCACAUACAAUCACAUUUUUGUAUGUGCAGGUUAAUUGCAAAAUGAACAUGUGUACUAAAUUCCAAUUUGAUGUGACCACAAACCCAUAAACAAACUUAUUAACCCAAACUAAAUUCUAAACAGACCAAAAAAGGUAUAUAAAAAAAAGACUCUCUUAUUAGCAAUUUGAUAUGGUUUCUUUUGCUUUUAUAGUUGAAACAUAUACUGGUACAUAUAUGUGUUUUAUACAGGUAGCAUUCUCAAAAAUUAAUGACAUUGACAUAGAUAAAUAUUUCUGCAUAACAAAUGACCUAUUUAUCUAUCUAUUAAGACAUUCUUUGAAAAAUUUCUUAUAUGUACCAUCCUUGAGACUUGUAUAUGUAGAUGAGUUAUAAUGAAGGACAACUUACACUCAACCAAAGCAAAAGUAUAUUAUUACAUAUAUUCAUAACAAUAGUUUGCUAUAAAGUUUGAAUACACAUUUUCUUUGGUUUAUAUGCAUAUGGUAGACAUUAUUUUAUGAAAGUGUUAUUACAGAUAAAUUAUGCGUCAUUAAUUUAAUAUUCAAUUAAAUAACAAACUAACUUACUCAAAACUUGGAUCUUUUCA
This 785-nucleotide long non-coding RNA is filed under the name Mytilus galloprovincialis (Mediterranean mussel). The record is from RNAcentral. Lineage: Eukaryota; Metazoa; Mollusca; Bivalvia; Mytilida; Mytilidae.